GCGGCAACAGCUCAGAUUUGAAAUCUGGCCCUUACGGGGUCCGAGUUGUAAUCUGUAGAGGAUGCUUUUGGCGACGCGCCUUCCGAGUCCCCUGGAACGGGGCGCCAGAGAGGGUGAGAGCCCCGUAUGGUUGGACGCCGAACCUCUGUAAAGCUCCUUCGACGAGUCGAGUAGUUUGGGAAUGCUGCUCAAAAUGGGAGGUAAAUUUCUUCUAAAGCUAAAUACCGGCCAGAGACCGAUAGCGCACAAGUAGAGUGAUCGAAAGAUGAAAAGCACUUUGAAAAGAGGGUUAAAUAGCACGUGAAAUUGCUGAAAGGGAAGCGCUUGUGACCAGACUUGCGCCCGGUUGAUCAUCCAGCGUUCUCGCUGGUGCACUCUGCCGGGCUCAGGCCAGCAUCGGCUCUCCCAGGGGGAUAAAGGUCGCGGGAACGUAGCUCUCUCCGGGGAGUGUUAUAGCCCGUGGCGGAAUGCCCUUAGGGGGGGCCGAGGCCCGCGUUCGCAAGGAUGCUGGCGUAAUGGUCACCAGCGACCCGUCUUGAAACACGGACCAAGGAGUCAAGCAUUAGGGCGAGUCUUUGGGUGCAAAACCCGCAGGCGCAAUGAAAGUGAACGGAGGUGAGAGCUUCGGCGCAUCAUCGACCGAUCCUGAUGUUCUCGGAUGGAUUUGAGUAAGAGCCUUACCGCUUGGACCCGAAAGAUGGUGAACUAUGCCUGAAUAGGGUGAAGCCAGAGGAAACUCUGGUGGAGGCUCGCAGCGGUUCUGACGUGCAAAUCGAUCGUCAAAUUUGGGCAUGGGGGCGAAAGACUAAUCGAACCAUCUAGUAGCUGGUUACCGCCGAAGUUUCCUCAGGAUAGCAGUGUUGUCUUCAGUUUUAUGA
Molecule: ribosomal RNA, 878 nt
Filed under: Distoseptispora aquatica
Lineage: Eukaryota; Fungi; Ascomycota; Sordariomycetes; Distoseptisporaceae
Description: partial large subunit ribosomal RNA
Rfam family: Eukaryotic large subunit ribosomal RNA
Source: RNAcentral